Molecule: RNA transcript, 2157 nt
Organism: Medicago truncatula (barrel medic)
Lineage: Eukaryota; Viridiplantae; Streptophyta; Magnoliopsida; Fabales; Fabaceae
Exons: 6
Source: RefSeq, a predicted model, not a curated record
UUGUUAUUUUUAAUGUAAAAGAAGAUGUGAGUUAUCUAUCUAUCUUCCCAAGGAAGAGAAGUUGUGAAGUGAGGGGAUGAUACCGAACUGUGUUAGAGUAACAACAGCCACAACCAUGGCUGUUCCUUCAUUCAUGGCAAUACGAAGAAGACCCAUAUGCUUCUUAUGUUGCGCUUCUUCUUCAACCAUCAUCAAUACAGAGCAAUUACGUUCUCAACUUGAUCAUCUUCAUGCUGAAGCAGAUACCACCAGAACCAAGGCAAAUAAUGCUAGAUUGAGGCUCCUAAGAUUAUCAGAAUCGGCAGAGAAGCUUAAAAAACAAGCAGCUAUAAGCAUGCAAAAGGGGGAUGAAAAUUAUGCAAGGGAUAUGCUUGUACAAAGGAAAAAGGUGUUGCAGGCUUUGGAGAAGUCUAAAAACCGCAUUGAAUUGCUUGACGAGCUUUCCACAAAGCUAAGUGAGGUAAUAUCUUUGAAAGAAAGUCAGCUAGUUGGAAAUGUCACUAUGAACAUGGAAGACACAACAGAAGAUGCUUCAAGUCCCGUUCGAAUCGUUGCUCCAAAGGAGGAAGUUCUAAAAGAUUCUCCCAAGGAUGAUUCUGACCUUAAUAUGAUGAAAUUCGGCGAUAUUCAAGAUAUGCAAAUUUCUUCGGAAAGUCAAGAGAAUCCACCGGAUGAUACGGAGACAGAGAAUCUUCUGAGAUCCCUUAAGACCGCCACUGGAAAUGAAAACAACAUACCCAACAGCUUGUCGGAAAUAUCCUCGUACAAGGAUUUCAUGGAACAUAUAGAUCAAAAGCUCCAUGAGAUUGAAACUGAACUAGUUGCUUUUUUGAAUUUCUCAGUUUUAGUAUUGGAUAGUGAGGAGAGACCAAAGAAUUCCAGGUGGCAACAAACAAUGGAACUCCUUGAGAGCAUCCAUGGCAUUAGACAGAGAAUCAGAAGUGCCAAGGAAGCUAAAGUGACGAUCUGAUCAAUUUUGCUUUGCUCAACUAAGCUUCUGCUGCCAGGUAUGACAUCACAUCAGCACACCAAUAGAAUCAGCAUUACAAAUAAAAUGACACCUUUUCAGUUUUCAAGUACCGGUGGAAGUGAAGGCUGGUGUUUCUAUUCACUGAACAUCCAUGUUUAUGUGCAUAGGAAGAUGACAGUAAAUGAGUGGUUCUUCCAGACACGGCACUAAUAACAUCCAAGAGGCUGUUACCAAUACAAGAUCAUGAAAAUAAGCAUACAAUAUCUGAUUAAGAGAUUAAUUGAAGAGGCCUGGCUUUAGUGGUAUGUCACAUAUCCUCAUAAAAAUAUGGGAGGAGUUUGAUUCAACAUAGGAUACUUCCCUUUGACUUAAAAAAGAAUAGAAGAUGAUCCAUAUUAAGGUUGACUUUAUGACUUCAUGAUAGGAUCACAGGUUUUAGUUGCUGGCCAUAGUCCUGAAUAGUGGUGGUUUUUGCAGUACUAGUCUACACUUUUAGAAGAGGUAGUUGAAUUAGACAGUUUCCAUGAGGUCAGCUAGAGCUAUCUUGCCAUACAUGCCAUGGUCCAAGGAAUCAAAUUGCUUGCUAAUCUGCAUAAUGUCCAUCUCAGUAAUCUUUCCCAUUUGCUUAAGCUUGUAUAUGACAAAGUCAGACUUACUGCACAAAAGUAAAAGGUCCAUGAUCAGAUGGCUCAUGAAAAUCUACUCCCAUGUUGGUGAAUAAUACUGAUGGAGCAGAGCGAGAGCGAUGAAUAAUCUUCGCUUUCUUGAUGCUCAAGUUGGCUAUGAGGUUAAUAAAAGAAGGUUUCCUCGCUUCAUUGAUGAUAAGAGGUGAAUUUGAUUGAGACAGUGAUGGAGGAGCAAGAUCAAGGACAUAUUGAUCCUUGAGUAAUGGUUUACUUAUUGAAUGUGUUUCUCCAUUACUGGAGAGAAGGCUGAGGAGAGGCUCCUGCAUUGUGCAUGGAUUAGAUGUGAGUGGGAGAUUAAUGGUAUCAAACUAUAGUACCAUAUAUUCAUUCAACUACAAGUCAAACUUGGGGAAAGGUGGUUAACUGUGUGUAGUAUGGCUCUGAAGAAAAAGACUUCAAGCAUAACUGUUGCUAAUUUCCUUGCUGCCAACUGCUUUAAUUAUUAGGUUUAUUUAAUAAAUCAUAAUAUAGUAUAUACUAAUAUAAGAUAUUUUAACAAAA